GUGGGGAAUAUUGCGCAAUGGGCGAAAGCCUGACGCAGCCACGCCGCGUGGGUGAUGAAGGCCUUCGGGUUGUAAAGCCCUGUCGUGGGGGAAGAACGCAAUGACGGUACCCCACAAGAAAGCACCGGCCAACUCCGUGCCAGCAGCCGCGGUAAUACGGAGGGUGCGAGCGUUGCUCGGAAUCACUGGGCGUAAAGCGUACGCAGGCGGAUCGUUAAGUCGGGUGUGAAAGCCCGGGGCUCAACCCCGGAAUUGCAUUCGAAACUGGCGGUCUUGAGUACGGGAGAGGGAGGCGGAAUUCCUGGUGUAGAGGUGAAAUUCGUAGAUAUCAGGAGGAACACCGGUGGCGAAAGCGGCCUCCUGGCCCGAUACUGACGCUCAUGUACGAGAGCGUGGGGAGCAAACAGGAUUAGAAACCCGAGUAGUCC
RNAcentral lists this ribosomal RNA (428 nucleotides) under uncultured bacterium. RNAcentral describes it as "bacterial SSU rRNA". It matches the Rfam family "Bacterial small subunit ribosomal RNA", at positions 354 to 796 of the family's 1533-position model. The record is from RNAcentral.